This 237-nucleotide ribosomal RNA is filed under the name uncultured bacterium. Its description in RNAcentral is "partial 16S ribosomal RNA". It matches the Rfam family "Bacterial small subunit ribosomal RNA", at positions 100 to 334 of the family's 1533-position model. The record is from RNAcentral.
CCGGCACGGGUGAGUAACACGUAUCCAACCUGCCGUCUACUCUUGGACAGCCUUCUGAAGGGAAAAUUAAUACAAGAUGGCAUCAUGAGUUCACAUGUUCACAUGAUUAAAGGUAUUCCGGUAGACGAUGGGGAUGCGUUCCAUUAGAUAGUAGGCGGGGUAACGGCCCACCUAGUCUUCGAUGGAUAGGGGUUCUGAGAGGAAGGUCCCCCACAUUGGAACUGAGACACGGUCCAA